Chenopodium quinoa (quinoa) is the source of this 552-nucleotide long non-coding RNA. RefSeq lists it as uncharacterized. The transcript is spliced from 3 exons. NCBI's taxonomy places the organism in Eukaryota, Viridiplantae, Streptophyta, Magnoliopsida, Caryophyllales, Amaranthaceae. The record is from RefSeq and is a predicted model, not a curated record.
AUAAAAUCCCCUAGAACCUUAAAACUCCGGCGAAAGCUCAACAAUGGAGGGACGAAGGUGACAUGGAAUUCUCUCAACAAACUCCCAAUAAAACGCCUUGAAAUCAUCGAAGAAUCCGGCGCCGAACAACUCUCUCCCGAAAUCGAAUACCAAGAGAAAACGGUGAACUCGAUUCGGCGAAUCGACUCCGCCGUCCACGUGGCAAGGAUUGAUUGAGAAUUUUAGAGUUGAAGCUAAUGAUGCAGUUACUAUGGCUCAUAUGAAUUGGCCAAAACCAUUUCUUUAUGAAACCUUGUCCGACCUUGCAAUAUCUGUUGCAAAGAAGCUACAGUGUUUUCGGGUAUCCUCAUUGUUAAUCUUUUUGUAUAUUUCACCUUACUCUAUCAAUACCCCAUUAGUGUCUAUGUUACUACAACUUAAUACUUAUUCCCUGCUUAAAAUUGAAAGAUGUAUCAUAAUAGUUCUAUCUUAAGGUCUAAAAAGUUGUAGUUUACAUGAACGUUUUCUUGUAAGAGUAAGGUCAGUAAACCAAAUUUAUUCUGCUUCUUGUUA